Molecule: small RNA, 125 nt
Filed under: Marmota monax (woodchuck)
Lineage: Eukaryota; Metazoa; Chordata; Mammalia; Rodentia; Sciuridae
Source: RNAcentral
GCUGGGCAUGGUGGCACAUGCCUAUAAUCCCAGCGGCUUGGGAGGCCGAGGCAGGAGGAUCACAAGUUCAAAGCCAGUCUCAGCAAAAGCAAGGUGCUAAGCAACUCAGUGAGGCCCUGUCUCUA